GGGUGGUGAGCGAGCUCCGGGAGACGAUCAACAACUACAUGAACCAGGCGACGGGGAACGACGAGCGGUUCUCGCACAUCGAGGAGAAGGACAAGCAGUCCAUCGUCGAGAAGUGCGCGACGAUCCAGAAGUGGCUCGAGGACCAGAGCGUGCGGCAGAGCGAGCGGCCGAAGAACGUGGACCCGGUGCUGCUGGCGGCGGACGUGCUGAAGAAGAAGG
This 219-nucleotide unclassified non-coding RNA is filed under the name Hevea brasiliensis (rubber tree). Lineage: Eukaryota; Viridiplantae; Streptophyta; Magnoliopsida; Malpighiales; Euphorbiaceae. The record is from RNAcentral.